Microplitis demolitor is the source of this 481-nucleotide long non-coding RNA. RefSeq lists it as uncharacterized. Lineage: Eukaryota; Metazoa; Arthropoda; Insecta; Hymenoptera; Braconidae. The transcript is spliced from 4 exons. The record is from RefSeq and is a predicted model, not a curated record.
UUGAAUAAAAUUAAGUAAUUUCAAUUAAAGAGUAUAUACAAUCACAGACUUUAGGUUAAAUGUGCAUAAGUCUGAGGAAAAGUUCAAUUGGAGCACUUGCUAGUACUCUAGCUAAGUAUACUAUUUACGGAUACUACUGGUUAUAAGAUGUUAUAAGGUAGCUAGGACGAAUUCUAGAACAAAUUCACUAAGAUGAAAUUGAAGUUUUUGGUGGACUCUGGCUGAGGAUACUAUUUUUACAAAGACUGCUGGUUAUAAAGUAUUUACUAGUUAUGGUGAUUAUUAUCUGGGCAAAUCUGCUCGAGGCUGAUUGGAUGUUAAAUUGGAGCAUUACGUUGGAUCCCGGCUGAGGACUUCCUCUUCAUUGCGAGUACUGGCCAUUAAUUUAUGGAUGUACAGGCUACUUAAAAAAUUUCCCAAUAAAAUUUUCACGGAUUAAAUGAAGAAUUUAAUUGAAAUACUCCAAAAGACUCUGGCUCAC